GCUUCUCGCUGGAGUGCGCACCGAGCGGCAGUGACUUCGCCGCUGCUGUAGUUCCCCGGCUGGAUGCGGUGACUGGUGCCAGUGCUCAGGCGCCCGCUGCCCUUGACCUCCCGCCCCGCGAGCCCUAACUCAGCGCAGGAGGACCGGCUGCCGCCGCCGCCGCCGCCAGAGCCUUGGCUGCCCAGUUGCCAGUCCUACCACGGUCGGAGGUAACCUUCCUGGCUCCAGUCACAUGGCCAGAUAAGGUGGUGUGUGUGGGCAUGAAUUAUGUGGACCACUGCAAAGAACAGAACGUGCCCGUGCCCAAGGAGCCCAUCAUCUUCAGCAAGUUUGCCAGCUCCAUCGUGGGGCCCUAUGAUGAGGUGGUCCUCCCACCACAGAGCCAGAUCCACACAACUUAAAGAUCUGCUGUCGAGUGAAUGGGGAAGUGGUCCAGAGCAGCAACACCAACCAGAUGGUAUUCAAGACAGAGGACCUGAUAGCCUGGGUGUCCCAGUUUGUUACCUUUUACCCAGGGGAUGUCAUCCUGACUGGGACCCCCCCACCUCCACCCAGGUGUCGGUGUAUUCAGGAAACCUCCUGUCUUUCUCAAGGUCUCUGAAGGUCCAGACAGCACUGAUGGCGAGCUUUGGGUCCGCACACUCUGGAAAGAAGAGAGAAGUGAAGGCUCUAGGAGCCUGGGCUGACUGGUUGGGACUCACCGAAGAUCCCUUCUUCCUGGGCGGUGGCCUGCAGGAACUGGAACAGCUGCUCUGUGUAGCCCAACUCUGCAGAAGAGAGAAGACCUAGACCUGGCACCCAGCACAGACACAGCCUGCCUCGAGGACUGCAAGGGAACAAGGGCCUCACCAGUAUCGGGCAGCUGGCCCUGGCGGAGGAAGGCGGCAGCCUGUGCAAAGGCCUUGAGCAGCGGGCUGAGCAGGCGGCAGAGGAAAAGAAAGAAAUCUGGGCAGUGUGACUGCUGGCUGAGCUGGAGGGGACAGGCCGGGGUGAGUGCAGCUCCCCACCGCCUCCCUACCACCUCCCUCCAGGGGCAGCUUUUUGAAACACACCCUGAAGUACCGGCCGUCAGCCUCUCCGAAGUCAUCACUGUCACUAUCAGUAAAGUCCCCACUCGGUUUCCACA
RNAcentral lists this long non-coding RNA (1126 nucleotides) under Homo sapiens (human). RNAcentral describes it as "novel transcript". Lineage: Eukaryota; Metazoa; Chordata; Mammalia; Primates; Hominidae. The record is from RNAcentral.